Molecule: ribosomal RNA, 491 nt
Filed under: uncultured bacterium
Lineage: Bacteria
Description: bacterial SSU rRNA
Rfam family: Bacterial small subunit ribosomal RNA
Source: RNAcentral
GAUAAACGCUGGCGGCGUGCAUAACACAUGCAAGUCAAACGGGCGAGAAAGAGGUGCUUGCACCACUUUUGAGCAAGUGGCGGACGGGUGAGUAACGCGUGGAGAACCAACCUGGUGGAGGGGGACAACUUAGAGAAAUCUGAGCUAAUACCGCAUAAGCCUGUAUUGAGGCAUCUUGGUACAGGGAAAGGAGCAAUCCGCCACGAGACGGUUCCGCGUCUGAUUAGCUAGUUGGUAGGGUAAAGGCCUACCAAGGCGACGAUCAGUAGCCGAUCUGAGAGGGUGACCGGCCACAUUGGGACUGAGACACGGCCCAAACUCCUACGGGAGGCAGCAGUGGGGAAUAUUGCACAAUGGGGGAAACCCUGAUGCAGCGACGCCGCGUGAAGGAAGAAGUAUUUCGGUAUGUAAACUUCUAUCAGCAGGGAAGAAAAUGACGGUACCUGACUAAGAAGCCCCGGCUAAUUACGUGCCAGCCGCCGCUGUAAUAC